GCCAGCAGCCAUAUCUUGCACAACUGGCAGCCCACAGAAGCAGGUGUGAGCCUGGUAAAUACCUGGAUGGGAGACUCCUGGGAAAACCAAGGUUGCUGCUGGAA
This 104-nucleotide ribosomal RNA is filed under the name Lepisosteus oculatus (spotted gar). Lineage: Eukaryota; Metazoa; Chordata; Actinopteri; Semionotiformes; Lepisosteidae. The record is from RNAcentral.